RNAcentral lists this ribosomal RNA (492 nucleotides) under uncultured bacterium. Its description in RNAcentral is "partial 16S ribosomal RNA". It matches the Rfam family "Bacterial small subunit ribosomal RNA", at positions 29 to 507 of the family's 1533-position model. The record is from RNAcentral.
AGUGAACGCUGGCGGUAGGCCUAACACAUGCAAGUCGAACGGCAGCACAGUAAGAGCUUGCUCUUACGGGUGGCGAGUGGCGGACGGGUGAGGAAUACAUCGGAAUCUACUUUUUCGUGGGGGAUAACGUAGGGAAACUUACGCUAAUACCGCAUACGACCUACGGGUGAAAGCAGGGGAUCUUCGGACCUUGCGCGAUUGAAUGAGCCGAUGUCGGAUUAGCUAGUUGGCGGGGUAAAGGCCCACCAAGGCGACGAUCCGUAGCUGGUCUGAGAGGAUGAUCAGCCACACUGGAACUGAGACACGGUCCAGACUCCUACGGGAGGCAGCAGUGGGGAAUAUUGGACAAUGGGCGCAAGCCUGAUCCAGCAAUACCGCGUGGGUGAAGAAGGACUUCGGGUUGUAAAGCCCUGUUGUUGGGAAAGAAAAGCAGCAGGUUAAUAACCCGCUGUUCUGACGGUACCCAAAGAAUAAGCACCGGCUAACUUCGUG